CUAUUACUUGUGUACCGACGUUAAGUACCACACUUGCUUGCUUACCCAAGCUGAGUGUGUGCUUACUAUUCUUACACACACACCAUUGUCCAACCAAUGAGUAAACCAAACUCUGAAGCUAUUGCUGCUGUUAAUCGGCAGUACUAACCAAGAACAACUCUCAACAACGGAUAUCUUGGCUCUCGCAACGAUGAAGAACGCAGCGAAAUGCGAUACGUAGUGUGAAUUGCAGAAUUCCGUGAACCAUCGAAUCUUUGAACGCAUAUUGCGCUCGACUCCUCGGAGAAGAGCAUGUCUGCCUCAGCGUCGGUUUACACCCUCAUCCCUCUUGCUUUCCAAAAGCAGGCUUGUCACGUGUGCUAUCACUGGCAUUAGGGAUGGAUCUGGCUCUCCCAAUCGGUGUCAAUCGGUUGGGUUGGCUGAAGCAUAGAGGCUUAAACUGGGACCCGUACCGGGCUCAACUGGAUAGGUAGCAACACCCUCGUGGUGCCUACACGAAGUUGUGUCUGAGGACCUGGUUAGAGGCCAAGCAGGAAACACGCUUCACGGCGUGUCUCAUGUAUUCGACCUGAGCUCAGGCAAGGCUACCCGCUGAACUUAAGCAUAUG
Molecule: ribosomal RNA, 608 nt
Filed under: Desmodesmus sp. NDem6/3P-3d
Lineage: Eukaryota; Viridiplantae; Chlorophyta; Chlorophyceae; Sphaeropleales; Scenedesmaceae
Description: eukaryotic LSU rRNA
Rfam family: 5.8S ribosomal RNA (bases 156-309)
Source: RNAcentral